RNAcentral lists this non-coding RNA (144 nucleotides) under bovine gut metagenome. RNAcentral's name for it is "FMN riboswitch (RFN element)". It matches the Rfam family "FMN riboswitch aptamer (RFN element)". From Rfam's summary of the family: The RFN element is a highly conserved domain that is found frequently in the 5'-untranslated regions of prokaryotic mRNAs that encode for flavin mononucleotide (FMN) biosynthesis and transport proteins. This element is a metabolite-dependent riboswitch that directly binds FMN in the absence of proteins. The record is from RNAcentral. RNAcentral also lists the same sequence under 1 other name.
UCUUUCGGGGCGGGGUGAGAUUCCCCACCGGCGGUAAUGGGGCAUAAGCCCUUAGCCCGCGAACCGCAGUUUAAGCGGCCGAUCCGGUGUGAUCCCGGAGCCGACGGUAUUAAGCGCAGGCUUUAAGUCCGGAUGAGAGAAGGA